Molecule: ribosomal RNA, 711 nt
Filed under: Triticum aestivum (bread wheat)
Lineage: Eukaryota; Viridiplantae; Streptophyta; Magnoliopsida; Poales; Poaceae
Description: partial small subunit ribosomal RNA
Source: RNAcentral
AUGGCCGCCCUCCGCCACCUCGCCGGCGCCACCCACAACCACCGCAUCGCGGCCAACUCCUCCUCCCUCUUCGACCUCCAGCGGCCGCCUUCCUGCCUCGCCGCGGCGCGACCCCUCAGCCUCGCGCCCCUCCGCUCCCGCUUCACCCGGCUUUACGCGCUGUCCAGCAACGACAUCAAGGUGGGGUUCAACCUGGAGGUGGACGGCGCGCCGUGGAAGAUUCUUGAGUUUCUCCAUGUCAAACCUGGAAAAGGUGCCGCUUUUGUGAGGACAAAAAUGCGCAAUUAUAUCACUGGCAACACAGUUGAGAAAACCUUUCGAGCUGGAAGUACGAUCCAGGAAGCUUCUAUUUCAAAGGAAACCAAACAAUUCACCUACAAGGAUGGCUCCCAGUUUGUGUUCAUGGAUUUGACGUCCUUUGAAGAGAGCCGCUUAAACGAGUCAGAUGUUGGCGACAGGCAGAAGUGGUUGAAAGAAGGAAUGGACUGCACUUUGUUAUACUGGAAUGGACGGAUCAUUGAUUUUGAUCUUCCCAUCACUGUUAGGCUGACCGUAACCGAGGCUGAUCCAGGGCAAGGUGACAGUGCACAAGGAGGAACAAAGCCUGCAACUCUGGAAACAGGAGCUGUUGUCAAUGUGCCGUCUUUCGUUGAUGUAGGCGAUGAUGUCCUAAUUGACUCGAGAACCGGGCAGUAUAUGAGCCGGGCAUAG